RNAcentral lists this ribosomal RNA (303 nucleotides) under uncultured bacterium. Its description in RNAcentral is "partial 16S ribosomal RNA". It matches the Rfam family "Bacterial small subunit ribosomal RNA", at positions 507 to 807 of the family's 1533-position model. The record is from RNAcentral.
AGCAGCCGCCGCGGGAAUACGUAGGUGGCAAGCGUUGUCCGGAAUUAUUGGGCGUAAAGCGCGCGCAGGUGGUUUAAUAAGUCUGAUGUGAAAGCCCACGGCUCAACCGUGGAGGGUCAUUGGAAACUGUUAAACUUGAGUGCAGGAGAGAAAAGUGGAAUUCCUAGUGUAGCGGUGAAAUGCGUAGAGAUUAGGAGGAACACCAGUGGCGAAGGCGGCUUUUUGGCCUGUAACUGACACUGAGGCGCGAAAGCGUGGGGAGCAAACAGGAUUAGAUACCCGCGUAGUCCCUGUCUCUUAUAC